This 236-nucleotide long non-coding RNA is filed under the name Brassica rapa (field mustard). RNAcentral's name for it is "long non-coding RNA (BRAP_LNC004614)". The record is from RNAcentral. Lineage: Eukaryota; Viridiplantae; Streptophyta; Magnoliopsida; Brassicales; Brassicaceae.
ACCGCUAACAUAAUCCAAAUUCUACCACGUAGCCUCCAUAAUGAUAUAACUCUGCUUCCAUAAAUAAAAUAAAAACUAUAACUUUUCGAUCCACCAAAGACAUGCAAUAUAUAUGCAAAGCCAUCUACCCCCACGUGAAAAAUUUUCCUUUCACCAAAAAAACCAAACCCGCUUUCUUCUUGGUUUGAAAAAGAACCAUCAAUUCGCUUGACAUGUGCUUCAUAAUACGAUCCUCU